UACGGAGGGUGCUAGCGUUGUUCGGAAUUACUGGGCGGAAAGGGCGCGUAGGCGGCCGUUUGCGUCGGAUGUGAAAGCCCGGGGCUCAACCUCGGAACGGCAUUCGAUACGGGACGGCUGGAGACCGGGAGAGGAGAGUGGAAUAGCCAGUGUAGAGGUGAAAUUCGUAGAUAUUGGCUGGAACACCGGUGGCGAAAGCGGCUCUCUGGCCCGGUUCUGACGCUGAGGCGCGAAAGCGUGGGGAGCAAACAGG
This 253-nucleotide ribosomal RNA is filed under the name uncultured bacterium. RNAcentral describes it as "partial 16S ribosomal RNA". It matches the Rfam family "Bacterial small subunit ribosomal RNA", at positions 524 to 776 of the family's 1533-position model. The record is from RNAcentral.